GACGAACGCUGGCGGCGCGCCUAACGCAUGCAAGUCGAACGGAGCUGAGAGAAGCUUGCUUUUCCUAGCUUAGUGGCGAACGGGUGAGUAACGCGUGAGUAACCUGCCCUGGAGUGGGGGACAACAGUUGGAAACGACUGCUAAUACCGCAUAAGCCCACGAUCCGGCAUCGGAUUGAGGGAAAAGGAUUUAUUCGCUUCAGGAUGGACUCGCGUCCAAUUAGCUAGUUGGUGAGGUAACGGCCCACCAAGGCGACGAUUGGUAGCCGGACUGAGAGGUUGAACGGCCACAUUGGGACUGAGACACGGCCCAGACUCCUACGGGAGGCAGCAGUGGGGGAUAUUGCACAAUGGGGGAAACCCUGAUGCAGCGACGCCGCAUGGAGGAAGAAGGUUUUCGGAUUGUAAACUCCUGUCGUUAGGGACGAUAAUGACGGUACCUAACAAGAAAGCACCGGCUAACUACGUG
RNAcentral lists this ribosomal RNA (468 nucleotides) under uncultured bacterium. RNAcentral's name for it is "partial 16S ribosomal RNA". It matches the Rfam family "Bacterial small subunit ribosomal RNA", at positions 28 to 507 of the family's 1533-position model. The record is from RNAcentral.